CCCUACGGGGUGCAGCAGGCGCGAAACCUUUACAAUGCACGCAAGUGUGAUAAGGGAACCCAAAGUGCUUAGCUUUGCUAGGCUUUUGCCAAGAGUAAAUAUCUUGGAGAAUAAGUGGUGGGAAAGACUGGUGCCAGCCGCCGCGGUAACACCAGCGCCACGAGUGGCGAUCCUGUUUAUUUGGCCUAAAGCGUUCGUAGCUGGUUUAAUAAAUCUCUUGUGAAAUUGUUCAGCUUAACUGAUCAGCGUGCAGGAGAGACUGUUAAACUAGGGACCGGGAGGAGUCAGAGAUAUGCCGUGGGGAGCGGUAAAAUGCUAUAAUCCUCGGUAGAUCACCUGUGGCGAAGGCGUCUGACUAGAACGGGUCCGACAGUGAGGGACGAAAGCCGGGGGAGCAAACCGGAUUAGAUACCCGAGUAGUCCCGGCCGUAAACGCUGCGAGCUAGGUGUCGCAUAAUCUCCGUGAUUGUGCGGUGUCGAAGCGAAGGUAUUAAGCUCGCCGCCUGGGAAGUAUGGUCGCAAGACUGAAACUUAAAGGAAUUGGCGGGGGAGCAC
RNAcentral lists this ribosomal RNA (555 nucleotides) under uncultured archaeon. RNAcentral describes it as "bacterial SSU rRNA". It matches the Rfam family "Archaeal small subunit ribosomal RNA", at positions 321 to 879 of the family's 1478-position model. The record is from RNAcentral.